This 467-nucleotide ribosomal RNA is filed under the name uncultured bacterium. Its description in RNAcentral is "partial 16S ribosomal RNA". It matches the Rfam family "Bacterial small subunit ribosomal RNA", at positions 28 to 507 of the family's 1533-position model. The record is from RNAcentral.
GACGAACGCUGGCGGCGUGCUUAACACAUGCAAGUCGAACGGAAGGGCCUUGCUUUGUGGGGUGGCCCGGUGGGCAAAGGGGGGGGAAACCGGGGAGUACCUUGCCUUGGAUUUUGGGAUAAUUUCAGAAAACGGGGGCUAAACCCGGAUAGGAGCUCCGGCUCAAGGGUGGGGGUGGGAAAGUUCGGCGGUUGGGGAUGGACUCGGGGCUUAUCAGCUUGUUGGUGGGGUAGUGGCUUACCAAGGCUUUGACGGGUAGCCGGCCUGAGAGGGUGACCGGCCACAUUGGGACUGAGAUACGGCCCAGACUCCUACGGGAGGCAGCAGUGGGGAAUAUUGCACAAUGGGCGGAAGCCUGAUGCAGCAACGCCGCGUGCGGGAUGACGGCCUUCGGGUUGUAAACCGCUUUCGCCUGUGACGAAGCGUGAGUGACGGUAAUGGGUAAAGAAGCACCGGCUAACUACGUG